This 862-nucleotide ribosomal RNA is filed under the name Algibacter sp. RNAcentral describes it as "bacterial SSU rRNA". It matches the Rfam family "Bacterial small subunit ribosomal RNA", at positions 16 to 873 of the family's 1533-position model. Lineage: Bacteria; Pseudomonadati; Bacteroidota; Flavobacteriia; Flavobacteriales; Flavobacteriaceae. The record is from RNAcentral.
UCAUUGGCUCAGGGAUGAAACGCUAGCGCAGGGCCUAACACAUGCAAGUCGGGGGGUAACAUUGGAGCUUGCUUCAGAUGACGACCGGCGCACGGGGUGCGUAACGCGUAUACAAUCUACCUUUUGCUGAGGGAUAGCCCAGAGAAAUUUGGAUUAAUACCUCAUAGUAUACACUACUUUCAUGAGUUAUGUAUUAAAGGUUACGGCAAAAGAUGAGUAUGCGUCCUAUUAGCUAGAUGGUAAGGUAACGGCUUACCAUGGCAACGAUAGGUAGGGGCCCUGAGAGGGGGAUCCCCCACACUGGUACUGAGACACGGACCAGACUCCUACGGGAGGCAGCAGUGAGGAAUAUUGGACAAUGGAGGCAACUCUGAUCCAGCCAUGCCGCGUGCAGGAUGACUGCCCUAUGGGUUGUAAACUGCUUUUAUACAGGAAGAAACACUGCUACGUGUAGCAGCUUGACGGUACUGUAAGAAUAAGGAUCGGCUAACUCCGUGCCAGCAGCCGCGGUAAUACGGAGGAUCCAAGCGUUAUCCGGAAUCAUUGGGUUUAAAGGGUCCGUAGGUGGAUAAUUAAGUCAGAGGUGAAAGUUUGCAGCUCAACUGUAAAAUUGCCUUUGAUACUGGUUAUCUUGAAUCAUUAUGAAGUGGUUAGAAUAUGUAGUGUAGCGGUGAAAUGCAUAGAUAUUACAUAGAAUACCAAUUGCGAAGGCAGAUCACUAAUAAUGUAUUGACACUGAUGGACGAAAGCGUGGGGAGCGAACAGGAUUAGAUACCCUGGUAGUCCACGCCGUAAACGAUGGGAUACUAGCUGUUCGGAACUUUUUCUGAGUGGCUAAGCGAAAGUUAUAAGUAUCCACAAC